AGUGAACGCUGGCGGUAGGCCUAACACAUGCAAGUCGAACGGCAGCACAGUAAGAGCUUGCUCUUACGGGUGGCGAGUGGCGGACGGGUGAGGAAUACAUCGGAAUCUACUUUUUCGUGGGGGAUAACGUAGGGAAACUUACGCUAAUACCGCAUACGACCUACGGGUGAAAGCAGGGGAUCUUCGGACCUUGCGCGAUUGAAUGAGCCGAUGUCGGAUUAGCUAGUUGGCGGGGUAAAGGCCCACCAAGGCGACGAUCCGUAGCUGGUCUGAGAGGAUGAUCAGCCACCUUGGAACUGAGACACGGUCCAGACUCCUACGGGAGGCAGCAGUGGGGAAUAUUGGACAAUGGGCGCAAGCCUGAUCCAGCCAUCCCGCGUGGGUGAAGAAGGCCUUCGGGUUGUAAAGCCCUUUUGUUGGGAAAGAAAAGCAGCAGGUUAAUACCCCGCUGUUCUGACGGUACCCAAAGAAUAAGCACCGGCUAACUUCGUG
RNAcentral lists this ribosomal RNA (492 nucleotides) under uncultured bacterium. RNAcentral's name for it is "partial 16S ribosomal RNA". It matches the Rfam family "Bacterial small subunit ribosomal RNA", at positions 29 to 507 of the family's 1533-position model. The record is from RNAcentral.